GUGAUUGCUUCAGCAGCACAUAUAUUAAAAAUUGGAAUGAUACAGAGAGGAUAGCAUGGCCCCUGCACGAGAAUGACAAUGGCCCCUGCACAAGGAUGACAUAUGAAG
Molecule: non-coding RNA, 108 nt
Organism: Ictidomys tridecemlineatus (thirteen-lined ground squirrel)
Lineage: Eukaryota; Metazoa; Chordata; Mammalia; Rodentia; Sciuridae
Source: Rfam